Molecule: ribosomal RNA, 468 nt
Filed under: uncultured bacterium
Lineage: Bacteria
Description: partial 16S ribosomal RNA
Rfam family: Bacterial small subunit ribosomal RNA
Source: RNAcentral
GACGAACGCUGGCGGCGUGCCUAAUACAUGCAAGUCGAACGGAAAGGCCCUGCUCUUGCUGGGUGCUCGAGUGGCGAACGGGUGAGUAACACGCGAGUAACCCGCCCUUGACUUUGGGAGAAAUCCAGGAAACUGGGGCUAAUACCGGAUAGGAGCUCUUGCUGCAUGGUGGGGGUUGGAAAGUUUCGGCGGUUGGGGAUGGACUCGCGGGUUAUCAGCUUGUUGGUCAGGUAGUGGCUUACAAAGGUUUUGACGGGUAGCCGGCCUGGGAGGGUUGACAGCCACAUUGGGCCUGAGGGACGGACCAGAAGGCAACGGGAGGCAACGGGGGAAAAUAUUGCGGAGUGGGGGGGAGCCUGUGGCAGCAACGCCGCGAGCGGGAUAACCGCUUACGGGUGGAGAACCGCUUUGUACGGUGCCGAGGACUGAGUGACGGUAAUUGAUAAGGAAGCACCGGCUAACUACGUG